AAGUCAAUGACCUUUCCGUUAACUGGCUUUAUACGUUCCUAGAAAGAGAUUACAAUGAGUCGUUCAGUUUCUCUUUGAAUUUUUGAACUCUUUCAUAAACGACCCGAAAGAAUUUUUAUAUUUAUUUGAGUAUCCACCGAGGUCAAGGUGAUAAAUCACAAUUCAUAUGGUAGCUUACGUUCGCACUCAAAAUGUUCCCACGUACAGUAUUUUUUUAAAAUUGCCUUGCAGCAUAAAAGCUCGCCUUGUGAUUGUCACACUUUCCAAUAACCAAUCAAACGCGAUUAUUUUCGCGCCUGGUACGUGUUCGUUUUUCAGCGUCACGCCAUCGCUAUGGAUCAGCACUCAAUCCCCCCGCACUCAAUCUACGACCAUAAAAACAGUUCUCGAACUGAAAGACAUUGAAUUGUUCGGACUCAUUUUGUGAUACCUUCUGUAAAUCGCAUCUCAAGAAAGGGACUCAAAGCUUGCUCAAUAAGAACAGGUGACUUGUAGUAAAUUUAGAAGUUGGAGAGAUGAAAUGACUGUAUUUGUGUAAACAGACAGUUAACCAUGGAAGAAGCCAGCCAAGAGGAAACACCGUUCUACUAAUUGUGGACAAUUAAUAUCAAUAAAAUGUCAAUGGAUUUGAGAAGUACAAGACGAAGACGAAAUCGAUGUUGUGAGCGUAACCGGGGACAAAACAGAAAAAAAGACCACCAGUUUAAAAUCAGAC
Molecule: unclassified non-coding RNA, 715 nt
Filed under: Orbicella faveolata
Lineage: Eukaryota; Metazoa; Cnidaria; Anthozoa; Scleractinia; Merulinidae
Description: myc proto-oncogene protein-like, transcript variant X2
Source: RNAcentral